UACAGAGGGGGCAAGCGUUAUUCGGAAUUAUUGGGCGUAAAGGGCGCGUAGGCGGCUUUGCAAGUGGCGGGUGAAAUCCCUCGGCUUAACCGAGAAACUGCCUGCCAGACUGUGAGGCUCGAGACCGGGAGAGGUGAGUGGAAUUCCCAGUGUAGCGGUGAAAUGCGUAGAUAUUGGGAGGAACACCAGUGGCGAAGGCGGCUCACUGGACCGGUACUGACGCUGAGGCGCGAAAGCGUGGGGAGCAAACAGG
RNAcentral lists this ribosomal RNA (253 nucleotides) under uncultured bacterium. RNAcentral describes it as "partial 16S ribosomal RNA". It matches the Rfam family "Bacterial small subunit ribosomal RNA", at positions 524 to 776 of the family's 1533-position model. The record is from RNAcentral.